RNAcentral lists this transfer RNA (67 nucleotides) under Marmota monax (woodchuck). RNAcentral's name for it is "tRNA.Ala". It matches the Rfam family "tRNA". Rfam says of the family: Transfer RNA (tRNA) molecules are approximately 80 nucleotides in length. Their secondary structure includes four short double-helical elements and three loops (D, anti-codon, and T loops). The record is from RNAcentral. Lineage: Eukaryota; Metazoa; Chordata; Mammalia; Rodentia; Sciuridae.
GGUUAUGGUUCAGUGGUAGAGCAUUCACUUAGCAAGUGAGAGGCCCUGGGUUCAAUUCUCAGCACCA